GGAAGAGUCCGAAUAAGGUUGCUAGAAUAAAAAAUGUCAUGGGUUUGGUUACAACCUAAACAUGUAUGGCGACUCUUGAGGUCCGCCGUCUUCCCAACCUUUCGGGGCUUAGGGCGUGGGCAGGAGACUAGUUACUUCCAAGUUCGGCCAAGGUUGUGACUACCCCUAUUUGAAAAGCCGCAAUAUUGAAAAUGCUAAAAAAGUGAAAAAUGAGAAAAUAAAAGAAAAGAAAAUGAAAAGCAAAGAAAAUCGAAAGGAAGCAAGUUGUAUGUAGUAUUCUAUAGAAGU
This 288-nucleotide long non-coding RNA is filed under the name Linum usitatissimum (flax). Its description in RNAcentral is "long non-coding RNA (LUSI_LNC003234)". The record is from RNAcentral. Lineage: Eukaryota; Viridiplantae; Streptophyta; Magnoliopsida; Malpighiales; Linaceae.